This is a long non-coding RNA of Pongo pygmaeus (Bornean orangutan), 667 nucleotides long. RefSeq lists it as uncharacterized. The record is from RefSeq and is a predicted model, not a curated record. NCBI's taxonomy places the organism in Eukaryota, Metazoa, Chordata, Mammalia, Primates, Hominidae. The transcript has 3 exons.
AGGACCUACCAGUCUGCCCUGCUCAUCCUUGAUCGGGAUGAGACUGAUACCCUGCGAGACGCAACAGAAUCAGCUCCUGGGAUUGUGUUAGCAGAAUGACGGGAGUGUGAGAUCCACCACAUGGCGAGGCACCCCAGGAACCUGUUUUCUUCUUGAAGAGCAACCGAGAACUAUUUCCAAGUUAUCCUUCACUUUGAGCCAGGCAAUGGUCAGGUGGAGUAAAACAUAAGGAAGAGCAUGUUUUUGGUUCAAAGGAUGAAAAAAACUGGGACAACAUGGAGGUGUCUGAUUUCUGCUUGGGCUGAGGAUUCAGGAGAAGAUGUGUGGAACACAGCCUGGACACGCCCCAACCUGGUUGAUGAAUUCCACCCGAAGUAGUGGAAGAAACACACCUAGAACAUGAGCAGAGAAGAUUUUUCUUCUGUACUUUCCAGGACUUGAAGCUGCUUUGUUUUUUGGUUGCUGGAUGGGGAAGGAGGAACAAUAGUAUAGCUUCCAGAAGAGAGAAGAGAGUUAUCUCUUGAGUGUGAAUUAAGCAGUACCAAGAGGCCUCAAGCUAGCUCUCUCUCCUGCUUGAAAUUCUACUGUUAAGAGUUUUCCUUUAAGUUUAAAACCUUGAAAGCUCCAUGAUGCUCCUGAGUAGAACAAUAAAGCCAUUAGUAGUCAA